RNAcentral lists this ribosomal RNA (744 nucleotides) under Triticum aestivum (bread wheat). Its description in RNAcentral is "partial small subunit ribosomal RNA". Lineage: Eukaryota; Viridiplantae; Streptophyta; Magnoliopsida; Poales; Poaceae. The record is from RNAcentral.
AUGAGAUGGAUUGUCACCAGCGACUUCAACCAAGUCUAUCGGGCCAGAGAUAAGAACCGUACAAAUGUCAAUCGCAGCCGUAUUGUUCGCUUCCGCAACGCCCUCAAUGCUUGUGAGCUAAAGGAGAUACACUUGCAGAAUAGGAAAUUCACAUGGAGCAAUGAACAAGCAAACCCGACCAUGAGCAAACUUGAUAGCUUCUUUUGCAAUGAAGAUUGGGACAUUCAGUUUGGCUCCCACCUUCUCCACGCAUUGCCAUCUUCAUUGUCCGACCACUGCCCUCUACUCCUCGCUAGUGAUGUGGGGCCCUCCCAGCCAAAAUGCUUCCGCUUUGAAAACUUUUGGAUCAAGAUGCCUAACUUCAAGAAGACUGUCCAAGAUGCUUGGAAUGAGAGAGUCCCCCAUGUUGAACCAUGUCAAAUCCUCUUUCACAAGCUAAAAAGAGUUAGUCAAUGCCUUCGCACUUGGAGCAAAAAGAUCUUCUCAAACCAUAAGGUCCAACUUCACAUGGCCCUUGAUAUCAUUCUUAGAUUGGAUUUGGCCCAAGAAAGUAGAACAUUGAGCUUUGAGGAGAGGGACCUUCGGAGGAAGCUCAAAAGAAAGAUUGUGUCCCUUGCCAUUCUUGAGAGAGCUAGAAAGAGACAAAGCUCCAGGGUUACUUUGCUCAAAGAGGGUGAUGCCAACACGCGUUUCUUCCACCUUCGCGUCAACCACAGAAGAAGAAGAAAAUUAUUCAUCGAUUGA